UACGGAGGGGGCUAGCGUUGUUCGGAAUUACUGGGCGUAAAGCGCGCGUAGGCGGACCUGCAAGUCGGGGGUGAAAGCCCGAGGCUCAACCUCGGAACUGCCUUCGAUACUGAGGGCCUUGAGACCGGAAGAGGUCGGCGGAACUGCGAGUGUAGAGGUGAAAUUCGUAGAUAUUCGCAAGAACACCAGUGGCGAAGGCGGCCGACUGGUCCGGUUCUGACGCUGAGGCGCGAAAGCGUGGGGAGCAAACAGG
This 253-nucleotide ribosomal RNA is filed under the name uncultured bacterium. RNAcentral describes it as "partial 16S ribosomal RNA". It matches the Rfam family "Bacterial small subunit ribosomal RNA", at positions 524 to 776 of the family's 1533-position model. The record is from RNAcentral.